RNAcentral lists this non-coding RNA (86 nucleotides) under Candidatus Muproteobacteria. RNAcentral describes it as "ZTP sequence". It matches the Rfam family "ZMP/ZTP riboswitch aptamer (pfl RNA motif)". Rfam says of the family: Previously known as pfl RNA. The record is from RNAcentral. Lineage: Bacteria; Pseudomonadati; Pseudomonadota.
CGGUUGUCGUGCAACUGGCGAUUCGAGGUGGAAGCUAACCACCGGGGAGCGCGACGACCUACCCGCCGAUCGCCUGGGCAAUUCCA